UGAGAGUGUUGAGAGAGAGAAUUGAGUGUGUUCUGGAGGGCUGGGGAGGCCUCAUGGAGGCAAUCAGGCUGCUGCUGGGCUCUAAGACUGGGUAGGGCUUAAAUGAACAACUGAGAGGGAGAUGGUGGAACAUCAUGAAUGAAGACUCAGAGUUUCAGCAUCAAUGAAUCAUCAAAGAUGAUCAUUUAUGUGACUACGUGGCAACCAACACAGGUAGUUGGCGUGCAUGAAUGAAGCUUACAAGGAAUUUUUUGUUUUUAUUUUCAAUUAUCUAGAGCCAAGGCUAAGACAAGCAUGUAUUUCAACUAUUUUCCUUUGUUGGGUGAUUUUUUUUUCUAUUUUUCCCAAUG
Molecule: long non-coding RNA, 350 nt
Filed under: Homo sapiens (human)
Lineage: Eukaryota; Metazoa; Chordata; Mammalia; Primates; Hominidae
Description: HSALNT0220449
Source: RNAcentral